Molecule: ribosomal RNA, 767 nt
Filed under: uncultured Latescibacterota bacterium
Lineage: Bacteria; Pseudomonadati; Candidatus Latescibacterota
Description: bacterial SSU rRNA
Rfam family: Bacterial small subunit ribosomal RNA
Source: RNAcentral
GAAAGAGGGGGCAACUCCUCAAGUAGAGUGGCGAACGGGUGAGUAACGCGUGAAGAACCUGCCUUCAACAGGGGGAUAACACUCCCAACGGGGUGCUAAUACCGCAUGAGACCACGGAUCUGCAUGGAUCUGAGGUCAAAGGUGGCCUCUGCUUGCAAGCUACCGGUUGAAGAUGGCUUCGCGUCCCAUUAGCUAGUUGGCGGUGUAAAAGACCACCAAGGCGACGAUGGGUAGCUGGUCUGAGAGGAUGGUCAGCCACACUGGGACUGAGAUACGGCCCAGACUCCUACGGGAGGCAGCAGUCGAGAGGCUUUGGCAAUGGGGGAAACCCUGACCAAGCGACGCCGCGUGGAGGAUGAAGGCCCUUGGGUUGUAAACUCCUUUUGUUGGGGAAGAAAUGCGAUCAGGUAAACAAUCUGGUCGUUUGACGGUACCCGGCGAAUAAGCUCCGGCUAACUCCGUGCCAGCAGCCGCGGUAACACGGGGGGAGCAAGCGUUGUUCGGAAUCACUGGGCGUAAGGGGCGUGUAGGCGGUCAAGUAAGUGGGAUGUGAAAUGCCUCGGCUCACCCGGGGACCUGCAUCCCAAACUGCUUGGCUUGAGUAUGGGAGAGGAUGAGGGAAUUCCUGGUGUAGCGGUGAAAUGCGUAGAUAUCAGGAGGAACACCGGUGGCGAAAGCGCUCAUCUGGCCCAAUACUGACGCUGAGGCGCGAAAGCUAGGGGAGCAAACGGGAUUAGAUACCCCGGUAGUCCUAGCCGUAAACGGUG